GGGGAGUUACAGGACUUCGCCCUUAACAAAUUGAAGGGGAUUGAAGAUGAGCUCAUUAUGAAACUUAAAUCUGCAAUAAAAGAAGUUGCUGAUGGUGAUGAUGAAUAUACAAUGCUUGUUAACUUGAAAAGGUUGUAUGAACUUCAAUUGUCAAGGCAAAUUUCCACUGAAAGCUUGUAUAAAGAUCUUGCAGAGACUCUGAAGAACUUCAGAAGUAUUGAUGACGAGGUAAUUGGAUUUCUGCUUCUUAACAUGCAUCUGCAUGUUUGCUGGUGCCUACACUCUAUCAUCAACUCUGGCACAGUCCUGGAACAAUCUAUAUCUUCCUUAAUUUCAAAACGCAGUGCCUUGUUUGAACUACUUGAGUCCUUCCUGACUACUAAUUCUCCGGAAGGUCUUCGUGCAAGUCAACUUGCAUGUAGGGUUGUGUUAU
This 433-nucleotide unclassified non-coding RNA is filed under the name Hevea brasiliensis (rubber tree). The record is from RNAcentral. Lineage: Eukaryota; Viridiplantae; Streptophyta; Magnoliopsida; Malpighiales; Euphorbiaceae.